This 250-nucleotide ribosomal RNA is filed under the name uncultured bacterium. RNAcentral's name for it is "partial 16S ribosomal RNA". It matches the Rfam family "Bacterial small subunit ribosomal RNA", at positions 524 to 773 of the family's 1533-position model. The record is from RNAcentral.
UACAGAGGUCCCAAGCGUUGUUCGGAUUUAUUGGGCGUAAAGGGUGCGUAGGCGGUCGCCUAAGUCAGGUGUGAAAUCUCGGGGCUCAACCUCGAAACUGCACUUGAUACUGGGUGGCUUGAGUACUGGAGAGGAGACUGGAAUUUACGGUGUAGCAGUGAAAUGCGUAGAUAUCGUAAGGAAGACCAGUGGCGAAGGCGAGUCUCUGGACAGUUACUGACGCUGAGGCACGAAGGCCAGGGGAGCAAAC